AAACCAGCACCUCAAGUGGUCAGGAUGAUUAUUGGGCCUAAAGCAUCCGUAGCCGGCUCUGUAAGUUUUCGGUUAAAUCUGUACGCUCAACGUACAGGCUGCUGGGAAUACUGCAGAGCUAGGGAGUGGGAGAAGUAGACGGUACUCGGGAGGAAGUGGUAAAAUGCUUUGAUCUCUCGAUGACCACCUGUGGCGAAGGCGGUCUACCAGAACACGUUCGACGGUGAGGGAUGAAAGCUGGGGGAGCAAACCGGAUUAGAAACCCCGGUAGUCC
Molecule: ribosomal RNA, 274 nt
Filed under: uncultured bacterium
Lineage: Bacteria
Description: partial 16S ribosomal RNA
Rfam family: Archaeal small subunit ribosomal RNA
Source: RNAcentral